UUUUGUAACGGCCCCGUAAAUAUUAAAAUGAAAUGAGUAUUUAAAUAUAUCAAAUGCGGAAGCGAGAUCAAAAUUUCAGUUAACAUCCCUUACACGAAAAACCAGAAACGUACUUAAAAUAUAAAAGAUUAAACUAACUAAGAGAGAAACUCGAAAAUAAAACUAUGAGUAUGACUACAGAGUCUCUAGGUAUCCCCUUCGUCGUCC
This 207-nucleotide long non-coding RNA is filed under the name Carica papaya (papaya). Its description in RNAcentral is "long non-coding RNA (CPAP_LNC002923)". Lineage: Eukaryota; Viridiplantae; Streptophyta; Magnoliopsida; Brassicales; Caricaceae. The record is from RNAcentral.